Molecule: long non-coding RNA, 632 nt
Organism: Poeciliopsis prolifica (blackstripe livebearer)
Lineage: Eukaryota; Metazoa; Chordata; Actinopteri; Cyprinodontiformes; Poeciliidae
Exons: 3
Source: RefSeq, a predicted model, not a curated record
AGCCUCUGGGCCUUCAGCAGGUCUGCGGUGGGGGGGUCCUGCAGCGGGAGGUAGCCGUCAGCCGGGUACGUGGCGCCCUCUCAGGGAGACGGCGAGGAAGGAUAUCUGAGCGGCCGGCUGCCGAAGUUAAACGCCACCGACUCUUUGAAGGAGAGGCUGAUGGCCGGGAAGUAGGCCACGCCGGGACCCGUCUUGAUGCUGCUGAAGGCCGUCCCCAGAGACUGGCCGUUCCUGGAGACACGGGGAGAGAAGACACAGCGCAGGUUUUCUAUGAAGAUGUGAUGGCAGAAAAACAGCAAAAUGAUGGAAAAAUCCAUGACGCCAAUAAACCGGGUGGAUUCUGAGGCGAAGCUUCAACUUGAGCAGACGGUUCUGAUGGAUGAAAUCAGCAGUUUUAUGUUUCAUGAAUAUGUCCAACAAGAAAACCACAAACUUAUAUUUAUUUAGUCUGUUUAACACUAAAAAUAUUAUAAAAUAUAAUAAAUUCAACAAAAACAUUUGGACCGUCACGUUACAGGGAGACAGUGGAAACCCAGAGGUUCUGACCCGAACCUCGAGGUUCUGACCCGAACCCCGAGGUUCUGACCCGAACCCCGAGGUUCUGACCCGAACCUAGAGGUUCUGACCCGAAC